Molecule: long non-coding RNA, 186 nt
Organism: Silurus meridionalis
Lineage: Eukaryota; Metazoa; Chordata; Actinopteri; Siluriformes; Siluridae
Exons: 2
Source: RefSeq, a predicted model, not a curated record
CCUGCCUUUGGAGGGAGCUGUGUGUUCUUUGUUAUUAGUGGAUUAAACCUUUAUUCGCAAGGGUGGAGCUGUUUCCCCCAGUUCUAUUUCCUUUGUGAAAAGGCGGUGUCAGUGUUGGUUCUGCUGUGAAAGUGACUGAGUUGGAUAAAGAAGCCUAAUUAAAGAAAGCUGCUCUGUUUGACUCAA